GAUGAACGCUGGCGGCGUGCCUAAUACAUGCAAGUCGAGCGAACGGACGAGAAGCUUGCUUCUCUGAUGUUAGCGGCGGGCGGGUGAGUAACACGUGGAUAACCUACCUAUAAGACUGGGAUAACUUCGGGAAACCGGAGCUAAUACCGGAUAAUAUUUUGAACCGCAUGGUUCAAAAGUGAAAGACGGUCUUGCUGUCACUUAUAGAUGGAUCCGCGCUGCAUUAGCUAGUUGGUAAGGUAACGGCUUACCAAGGCAACGAUGCAUAGCCGACCUGAGAGGGUGAUCGGCCACACUGGAACUGAGACACGGUCCAGACUCCUACGGGAGGCAGCAGUAGGGAAUCUUCCGCAAUGGGCGAAAGCCUGACGGAGCAACGCCGCGUGAGUGAUGAAAGUCUUCGGAUCGUAAAACUCUGUUAUUAGGGAAGAACAUAUGUGUAAGUAACUGUGCACAUCUUGACGGUACCUAAUCAGAAAGCCACGGCUAACUACGUGCCAGCAGCCGCGGUAAUACGUAGGUGGCAAGCGUUAUCCGGAAUUAUUGGGCGUAAAGCGCGCGUAGGCGGUUUUUUAAGUCUGAUGUGAAAGCCCACGGCUCAACCGUGGAGGGUCAUUGGAAACUGGAAAACUUGAGUGCAGAAGAGGAAAGUGGAAUUCCAUGUGUAGCGGUGAAAUGCGCAGAGAUAUGGAGGAACACCAGUGGCGAAGGCGACUUUCUGGUCUGUAACUGACGCUGAUGUGCGAAAGCGUGGGGAUCAAACAGGAUUAGAUACCCUGGUAGUCCACGCCGUAAACGAUGAGUGCUAAGUGUUAGGGGGUUUCCGCCCCUUAGUGCUGCAGCUAACGCAUUAAGCACUCCGCCUGGGGAGUACGACCGCAAGGUUGAAACUCAAAGGAAUUGACGGGGACCCGCACAAGCGGUGGAGCAUGUGGUUUAAUUCGAAGCAACGCGAAGAACCUUACCAAAUCUUGACAUCCUUUGACAACUCUAGAGAUAGAGCCUUCCCCUUCGGGGGACAAAGUGACAGGUGGUGCAUGGUUGUCGUCAGCUCGUGUCGUGAGAUGUUGGGUUAAGUCCCGCAACGAGCGCAACCCUUAAGCUUAGUUGCCAUCAUUAAGUUGGGCACUCUAAGUUGACUGCCGGUGACAAACCGGAGGAAGGUGGGGAUGACGUCAAAUCAUCAUGCCCCUUAUGAUUUGGGCUACACACGUGCUACAAUGGACAAUACAAAGGGCAGCGAAACCGCGAGGUCAAGCAAAUCCCAUAAAGUUGUUCUCAGUUCGGAUUGUAGUCUGCAACUCGACUACAUGAAGCUGGAAUCGCUAGUAAUCGUAGAUCAGCAUGCUACGGUGAAUACGUUCCCGGGUCU
RNAcentral lists this ribosomal RNA (1372 nucleotides) under uncultured bacterium. RNAcentral describes it as "bacterial SSU rRNA". It matches the Rfam family "Bacterial small subunit ribosomal RNA", at positions 28 to 1381 of the family's 1533-position model. The record is from RNAcentral.